Molecule: long non-coding RNA, 267 nt
Organism: Myodes glareolus (Bank vole)
Lineage: Eukaryota; Metazoa; Chordata; Mammalia; Rodentia; Cricetidae
Source: RefSeq, a predicted model, not a curated record
CAGGGCUCAGAGAGAGGUCAGCUGGAGACCACACUCUUCUUCCUUCUGAGGGAAAGAGAUGGGAUUCCCCACUUCUGAGAAUCUCAGAAGAUGUCCUCUGGUCUUCCAGGAAAAGAAAACAAGGCUUCAAGAACCGAGAUGGCCCACUUGCCACACACUUGUCGCACACAAUGAUGGAACAAAAUCCAAGCAAACUUUUCUUGGCUCUCUGUCCUGUUUCCUCGCUAUGACGACCUGUACACAAUGAAUUUUCUGAAUGUCCACUCA